GCAAUGAUGACAAUUUCUGGUUUUGAUCAGCAGUGAAAAUAAACUACCAAUCCUCUAAGAAGUUCUGAGCUC
Small nucleolar RNA from Mugil cephalus (flathead mullet), 72 nucleotides. RefSeq annotates it as small nucleolar RNA SNORD61. NCBI's taxonomy places the organism in Eukaryota, Metazoa, Chordata, Actinopteri, Mugiliformes, Mugilidae. The transcript has a single exon. The record is from RefSeq and is a predicted model, not a curated record.